RNAcentral lists this ribosomal RNA (303 nucleotides) under uncultured bacterium. RNAcentral's name for it is "partial 16S ribosomal RNA". It matches the Rfam family "Bacterial small subunit ribosomal RNA", at positions 507 to 809 of the family's 1533-position model. The record is from RNAcentral.
AGCAGCAGCCGCGGUAAUACGUAGGGUGCGAGCGUUAAUCGGAAUUACUGGGCGUAAAGCGUGCGCAGGCGGUUAUAUAAGACAGAUGUGAAAUCCCCGGGCUUAACCUGGGAACUGCGCUUGUGACUGCACAGCUAGAGUAUGGCAGAGGGGGGUGGAAUUCCACGUGUGGCAGUGAAAUGCGUAGAGAUGUGGAGGAACACCGAUGGCGAAGGCAGCCCCCUGGGCCAAUACUGACGCUCAUGCACGAAAGCGUGGGGAGCAAACAGGAUUAGAUACCCCCGUAGUCCCUGUCUCUUAUAA